CAUCAGUAUAAGGGAGAGUUUGUAGCGGAAUACAGGGUGAGAUGAGGUCUUGAUCAUCGAUUGUCAGAUGAGUGAAGGUUGGUGUUGCUUGGUCUACAGUUUUCUGCAGGAAUUUCCUUAGGCAUGGGAGGACACAACAAAUGAGAAGAGCGAGAAUAAAAAGAAAAAUUAGUAAGACAAUACCAAUCUGGACUAAAGCUCUCUGCCAACCAGUCAUCCAACCAAACCAUUUUUCCCAGGGAUCAGUAACUCCAGAGUUUCUCUUUAACUCUUCUGAGAGUCUAUUUAAUUUAGCUAUGGCCAGAGUGACUUUACCAUUAGGACCUGUGUUUUCUGGGAUAUAAGUGCAACAAGUCAUAGUGUCGGGAAGUAUUUUACAGACCCCCCUUUUUUUCGGCUAAGAUCAUGUCUAAGGCCAGUCUGUUCUGGAAGGUCAUUUGGGAUGUGGCCUGUAAUUGCUCGGCCAAGCCCUGGAGGGCAUCCCUGGUGUAGUUCACGAAGCGCUGUUGGUUGUAAUAAAUGUAGUUAAUCCAAUUAAGGUUUUUGUUGGCAGUGACUAUGGUAAAAAGUGAUUCAAAACCUGCAGCUACUUCAUCUCUAGCUUUAAAUUCAUUAGGUACCCCCCUAGGCACCCCAAUGGCAUCUAUGUAAAUGUGGGGGUCAAAACUGCCUUUUACUGGGGUUUCGCACCUUACUCUGGCUGGUGUAUGUGGAGGGUCGUAUGUGUCAUGUUGAUUAUCAGAAAUAAUAUGAAUGGGCAUGAUAACUUUGGCCAGGGUACACUCACCCCACCACUCAGUUUCCAGCCUAGAUCUUAACUGUAGAUCCCCACAUAACCAGUAAAUAUCCCCCAAUGACCUGGUAUGGUGUUGCAACAGGCGUAUAGGAACAGUUCUGUAAGUGGCGCAAUAACCUUUAGAAAAUUACCCAUGAAUUUACCAAUCCCGUCAUACAUGGCAUAACAAGUGUAAUUACCUCUAUAGACUGUGAUUCCAUCUGGUGGCUUAACAUUUUCAACUAAGAGAGGGUAUUCUGCCAUCCAUGCCAUGCAGAGGGACCUAUUAAAGUCAUAUUGGUAGGCAAAAAGGCUUAAGAAGCAAUCUUCUAUCUCUAAAGGGAGAGUUAGGGGGACGGUGCCAGGUUGGGGUCGGGCACCGCCACAUACAUAACAUGCUGUUUUAUUAUGUUUGUUAGCAUUAUACCUCAUCCAUUCUAACCACAAAUUAAUGUCAUUGAAUCCAGUUUCAGCGGCCAUGGUAUCUUCAAAAGUGGGGUUAGCGAUGGCCAUCAUAUCUUUAAAGGACUGGAUAUGUGGUUUUAGCGGAUUAGGGACCAUAUGAUCAGCCCCUUGCCACUCUGGAGAGUGGUACAUAUCUCUGAGGUAGAAAUGACCUAAUUUGUUGUAGGAA
Non-coding RNA from Pelobates cultripes (western spadefoot toad), 1409 nucleotides. The record is from the annotation of a GenBank genome assembly. Lineage: Eukaryota; Metazoa; Chordata; Amphibia; Anura; Pelobatidae.